This is an RNA transcript of Triticum aestivum (bread wheat), 843 nucleotides long. It is a transcript of the gene named rRNA 2'-O-methyltransferase fibrillarin-like, with no coding region annotated. The record is from RefSeq and is a predicted model, not a curated record. The transcript is spliced from 4 exons. NCBI's taxonomy places the organism in Eukaryota, Viridiplantae, Streptophyta, Magnoliopsida, Poales, Poaceae.
CAGUUUUGAAUAUAAACAUUGAGUAGGUGCUCAAAUAUUUUGCUAAUGAUAGUUUCCAACUUGCUUUUUAGCAGAGCUACAAAACUAUUAGCAGCUUUUAAUUAUGUGUACUUAAAAUGGAUUUGGUGUCCAGGACAUGUGGAGUUGAGAUCAGGUUGAAUUAUGUGCUGAUGUUCUUCGAUAGUAUAAUUGUUCUUCUCCUUUAACAUGAUGCACCAUUGACUUAUUUUUUUAGAUGCUCAAAUACGCAGAGUAAUGACAUCCUGUAUGCGCUUGGACACCCAGCAGAUUGAAAAUAUAGAAGCAAAGAUAUCCAAUACGAGGCCACGAUGCCCGACAGAGAUGCAGCCAAUACGCGCCCAAUCUUUAUUUCUUGAUGUUGGAACAACAAAUAAGAGCAUGUUCAUGUUUAUUUAUUAUGAUUCCUGAAACACUGUCCAGAAUUCCACUGCUACAGAAUUGAAAUUCGAUAGCACAUGAACGAGGACGGAUCCAAGGUUGAGUACUGGGUGUGGAACCCCUUUAGAUCCAAGUUGGCUGCUGUUGUACUCUGUGGUGUGGACAACAUCUGGAUUGUCCGAGGAAUUACAGCUUGGGGACUUGGGAGGCGAUCGUAAAAGCGGUGUGCUACAGUGUAAUGCACUAGCAAUAUGUGAAGAUUUUUUUAAGGAGGGGGUUAAUAAACAAUCAGAAAAUUCUUUUGCCCCCUCAGAAAACUAUGUUCCGUGUUUGGCCCCUCUGGGCAUUGAUGUGAAGCUAUACAGUCGUGUAAUAUGACCAAACUCAUCACCUCGGGGUUGAUCACAUUCGUCGUGAAUAGGUGGAUAACAUGACCAUCAUCGA